CUGUGUGCACCAUGGCCUGGACCCCUCUCCUCCUUGUGCUCCUCUCUCACUGCACAGGUUCCUUCUCCCAGCCUGUGGUGACUCAGCCGCCCUCCAUCUCUACAUCUCCAGGAGCCACAGCCAGACUCACCUGCACCCUCAGCAGUGACAUCAAUGUUGGCAACUCUAUUAUAUCCUGGUACCAGCAGAAGCCAGGGAGCCCUCUCCGGUAUCUCCUGUGGUAUAAAUCAGACUCAGAGAAGCACCAGGGCUCCGGGGUCCCCAGCCGCUUCACUGGAUCCAAGGACACCUCGGCCAAUGCAGGGCUCCUGACCAUCUCGGGGCUGCAGCCUGAGGACGAGGCCGACUACUACUGUCUUUCCUAUGGUGGUGGUAAUCACACAGUGAUGCAGACUCAGGGAGAAGUGACACCCAAACCCCCAGAGCUUCCCCUUCUGGGUCUGCACUCAGCCUGUCCCCACCAAGCAGGCAGUGGCUUCAGUGUAGACGACUACCACAUUCGCUGGUUCCAGCAGAAUCCAGGGAGCCCUCCCCGGUAUCUCCUGUGGUAUAAAUCAGACUCACACAAGCACCAGGGCUCCGGAGUCCCCAACCGCUUUUCUGGAUCCAAAGACACCUCAGCCAAUGCAUGGCUUCUGCACAUCUCUGGGCUGCAGCCUGAAGACGAGGCCGAGUAUUACUGUGCUAUAUUUAAUGGCAGUUGGAGUGGCUACAGUGACUCACAGGGGCUCAGAUGA
Molecule: non-coding RNA, 737 nt
Organism: Phyllostomus hastatus (greater spear-nosed bat)
Lineage: Eukaryota; Metazoa; Chordata; Mammalia; Chiroptera; Phyllostomidae
Source: the annotation of a RefSeq genome assembly